This 672-nucleotide long non-coding RNA is filed under the name Ursus maritimus (polar bear). RNAcentral's name for it is "lncRNA (ENSUMAG00000013157.1)". Lineage: Eukaryota; Metazoa; Chordata; Mammalia; Carnivora; Ursidae. The record is from RNAcentral.
ACGACCAGUUCCAGAAAAAGGAAGAAAGCCUCACUCCUCAAGCCCCCUUUGGCCUGAAGAGAAGCCAGACACCAGGAAGUGGCCUUCUCAGGGAAGCAGAGGCAGCCCCAUCGAUGGCCUCUGCCUGUACUCCCAAGACUGCAAAAGUGGCAAGUCGGGUCCAACGCUGGCAUUCAGCCCAGCCCAGAGCCCUGUGCCACCCCACUCUGGAACUGUGAUAUGCUUCUGCCUUGAUCUCCCCUGUUCAACAACGGGUCCAGGGAAGAAGCACCUCGCACAUCACCUUGCACAUAGCAGGUACUCCGUCAAGGCCUCGGGAUCCUGAAGACUCUGGAAUUUCUUCUCUCAAGAUCUCAGAACAUGGGAGGAGAAUCUCCCCCUGUGAGAUGAUGGACAUCAAUAACUGUCAUGGAGCACCUUGGCUAAGCACUUCCCAUUCCAUAGAGGAGGGGACUGAGGCUCAGAGAAGCUAAAUAACUUGCCCUAAGUCACAGAGUUCAUGCAAACAAGAACUGGGGUUCAAAAUCAGGUCUUGGGGCGCCUGGGUGGCUCAGUCGGUUAGGCCUCUGCCUUCCAUUCAGGUCACCAUCCCAGGGUCCUGGGAUUGAGUCCCGCAUCGGGCUCCCUGUUCAGCCGGGAGCCUGCUUCUCCCUCUGCCUGCCACUCCCCCUG